Non-coding RNA from Branchiostoma floridae (Florida lancelet), 94 nucleotides. The record is from Rfam. NCBI's taxonomy places the organism in Eukaryota, Metazoa, Chordata, Leptocardii, Amphioxiformes, Branchiostomatidae.
GUUUACCUGUGUGUGGAUGGUAUUCAGCACCAAGGACAGGUAUGUUUACCUGUGUAUGGAUUGUGUUCAGCAUCAAGGACAGGUAUGUUUUCCU